GUGCACGUGGGCUUAGUGGUUAGUACGUUCACCUCACAUCGCCAGGGGGUUCGGGGGUUCGAUUCCCACCGUGGCCC
Ameiurus melas (black bullhead) is the source of this 77-nucleotide non-coding RNA. NCBI's taxonomy places the organism in Eukaryota, Metazoa, Chordata, Actinopteri, Siluriformes, Ictaluridae. The record is from the annotation of a GenBank genome assembly.